This 1326-nucleotide long non-coding RNA is filed under the name Oncorhynchus kisutch (coho salmon). RNAcentral's name for it is "lncRNA (ENSOKIG00005008704.1)". The record is from RNAcentral. Lineage: Eukaryota; Metazoa; Chordata; Actinopteri; Salmoniformes; Salmonidae.
CCCCCCCCCCCCCCCCCCCCCCCCCCCCCUCUAGACGCUGUGGGACAACUUUGAGCGCAGGGUGAUUGACGGAAGUCAUAAAACCAAAGUGCCGGCACUAGAUUUUUGUGGGGAAGAUGUUCAAGAUGGAGGUGUGGGAGAAGCUGCUGACCUCCAUGAGGAUCGGAGAGGUGGCCGAGUUCUGGUGUGAUGCCGUUACCCCGUCUAGGCAAAGUCUCAAUCCAAGCUUUCUUCAAAAGAUGGCAGUCCUGCCCAUGCUGCCCAGUGUGGAACGAGAAGGAAGCCAAUAAAUGCUUUCACAUGGUGUCCAACCCGGACAUACACUUGCCUCUCUGGUACACAAAGAGCGGAGGGCCUUCGCUGAUAGAAUGAGGGGGAAAUACUGGGAGGAGAAGGAGAAAUACUGGAGGAGAAGGAGAAAUACUGGAGGAGAAGGAGAAAUACUGGAGGAGAAGGAGAAAUACUGGAGGAGAAGGAGAAGGAGAAAUACUGGACUAGAAGGAGAAAUACUGGAGGAGAAGGAGGGGAAGAAAGGGGAGGAAGAGGAAGAAGAGAAAGAGGAUGCAGCGUAGGAUGAGAGCAAGGAGACCAAAGUGAAGAAGGAGGAUGAAUGCAAAGAUGAAAAACCAUGGAACAUGGUUGUAACGAAGGGUGAAACCGCCACAGUGAAAGAUAAGGCUACAAUGAAGGAUGAAACAGCCAAUAAGAAGGCCGAGAGCAGUCUGGAAACCCAGACCAAUCAGAGGUCUCCAUCCGUGGGAGAGAGGAUGGACUGGCAGCAGAAGUUAAGAUAUCACGUUCCUGCAGAAGGAGGGUAACGUCCUGCUAACAGAGCAAUACAGCGAGGCCACAGGGAAUUCCAAGGAGGCCCUGGAGCAUGUGGACGUCAUUCAGAACAAGGCAGUGUACCAGCGGGCUAGGGCGCACUUGGCUCUGUGCAACGAGCAGGAGGCCAGGAAGCACUUCCGGAUGUUGGAGCGUUUGGAGCCCAGGUUCAAGCCCAUCGUCAAUCAGGAAAAUAAGAGGAUGGCAGUAACUCUCGUAGCCUGUGCAGCUGGGACUCCAGCUGUUUGUUGUGGUCCUCCAGGAUCUGCAUGCGUGUCUCCAGGCGAGUCUUGUGCUGCCGGAGGACCCUUGCCUCGGCCAGGAGCUCCUCGUCCUGCUGGCCCUCCGUGGGAGAUCCCGGAACACCCUCACCUCCCUCCGUCAGCUGGGGCGCCGCCGCCGCCUCCUCAUGCCUCCACUUCAGCCGCCGCCACUCCCCCUGCAGCACCCUGGGGAAUAGGAGAGAGGACAGAGACAUCAGCAGACAGCAUUUUAAAGAGC